UGGGCAACCUGCCCCAGACACAGGGAUAACCCCCGGGGAAACCGGGGCUAAUACCGGAUACUCCGGUCGAACCGCAUGGCUCGAUCGGGAAAGCUCCGACGGUCUGGGAUGGGCCCGCGGCCUAUCAGCUUGUUGGUGGGGUAACGGGCUACCAAGGCGACGACGGGUAGCUGGUCUGAGAGGGUGACCGGCCACACUGGGACUGAGACACGGCCCAGACCUCCGUACGGGAG
Molecule: ribosomal RNA, 233 nt
Filed under: uncultured bacterium
Lineage: Bacteria
Description: partial 16S ribosomal RNA
Rfam family: Bacterial small subunit ribosomal RNA
Source: RNAcentral